Labeo rohita (rohu) is the source of this 893-nucleotide non-coding RNA. Lineage: Eukaryota; Metazoa; Chordata; Actinopteri; Cypriniformes; Cyprinidae. The record is from the annotation of a RefSeq genome assembly.
GCUGUGAGUUUAACACUUCAUCACUGACACACACAACAAUCUUCAUCAACAUGACCUUCACCAUCAUCUUCAUCUGGACUCUCACAGCGUUUGCUCAAGAGUGUAGAGGACAGAUCACCGUCACUCAGAGUCCCUCAAUGACAGCAGCUCAACCAGGAGAAACUGUCAAAAUCAACUGUAAAACCAGCAGAGAUGUGUAUUACCAUAGUUCUUGCGGACAUUAUUUAGCUUGGUACUUACAGAAACCUGGAAAAGCUCCUAAACUCCUGAUUUAUUGUGCAAACAGCCUCCAGUCAGGAACUCCAUCUAGAUUCAGUGGCAGUGGAUCUAACAGUGAUUUCACUCUGACCAUCAGUGGAGUCCAGACUGAAGAUGUUGGACAUUGUUACUGUCAGAGUUUCCAUGUCAUCAACAGUAACUAUGUGUGGACUUUUGGUGGAGGAACUAAACUGACGAUCACUGGUCCCGCAGUGAAGCCCUCCGUGUCUCUGCUGCCGCCCUCUUCUCUGCAGAUCUCUGGAGACUCAGCCGCACUGCUCUGCCUGCUCAGCUCUUACUCUCCACAGGGGGCGCAGGUGAGCUGGACGCUGGACGGGUCAGAGGUCACCGAGGGGGUUCAGACCAGCGCAGAGAGCAAACAGGGUGGACGCUACAGCCGCAGCAGUGUCCUGAGCCUCAGCAAAGCACGCUGGGAAAAUGCAGAGCGCUUUGUAUGUAAAGUAACACAUGACGGAGCUGAUCAAGAGGCCUCGUUCCUCAAGAGCUCCUGCUGAUGUUUCUCCAGUGAAGAGCAGCAGGAUUCACAGCAGUCACGUGAUUUACAGCUCAAUACUGAAACAGUCUUUCAAUGUGCUGCCAUUGAUGUUCAUUCAAUAAAGCUUCUGAACGCCUUA